UAUAAAUCGACGAGCCGCGUUCGGCUGCGUCAUUGUUAAAUUACUCAGCCUUUCGGCAAAUUACUCGGUUUUCGCAAAUUUACUUAAGAGGAUUUAAGUGCGUGUUCGCCUUCAUUCUUUUGUAUUCUAUAAUACCUUAACUUUGAAUCUUACCGGAAUACAUAGAAACUAGAAGCUUUCUGGCUAAUUGCGAAAAUUUUGAAAGUUAUUACUUCGUCACGAUUGCUACCAAUUUACGUGGUCAAGAUUAUGUCCAAUUCCUGAUUUAUCUCCAACUCGUUUUAUUUAUUUUUAUUGCUGGAUGCUGGUGGCUGCUGAUAAAUGAGGUAGGCAUAAUAAAGCUUUAACUAAUUUUUUUUACAUUGGCAAAUAUUUGUUUUUGUUUUAUAUUUUUCAUUUUAAAAACGUUACUGCAAAAAGCCACGAGUUCUUGAUCAUUCUCUAAUGUUUCUGUGGCUCUGAAUAUUUAUUCGCAUUGUCCUUCAAACUUUCUUCCAAAGUUUUCAAAUAUUUCAUCUUAUUCAAAACCCCAUCGAUUGAUACGAGAUUUCCAACGUUAUUCGCCUGCCAUGUAAUCCGAUGCCAUCGCUGAUCUACCACCAUAUUUUACCGUGGCACAUAGAUUCUUUGAAUUUAAUUCUGUAUUUCAUUCCUCUAUACAGAUUUACGAACGUAACUUUCAAAAAUGUCAAAUUUAUUUUCAUACAACAACAGAUACUGUGGAGAAAAAUACCGUAUUCCAGUGAGGAUUAUCUUUGUUAGUAGAUUCAUUAGCAUAUUCUAAAUGUAAUAUUUUAUUCUUCUUACUGUUAUGCCGCGGCUUCUCAGCAGAGGUAGUUUGAAAAAUGUGAAGAUUCUUCGUAAGAAAUCUACGACAUUUCUUAGAGACAGAGUCCGUUCUGGUCAAAGUGGUUCAGAAUUUCGAAAACAAAUGUUAAGAACUUGGGUUUUCGAAUGUGUAUUCUUAACAAACUUGGUACGGAUGAAUGAACGAACGAAUUAUCGCAUUUACGAACCAACGAACUCCUGGCGACCUCACUAGUGGUAACUUUAUAUCAACGUUCGCUAUCUGUUUUUGGGACAACAGCUGGUAACAGAGUUGGUGUUUUGCUAGCCUUGCGGAACGCUACUAACUCCAGUGCUUUGGAACUAGGUUAAAAAUGUGCCGAUACUGUGGUAUAAGGUGUUUCCAGGUUAGCGAUUUUUUCCAGCAUUACAUAACAUUAUUAAUAAACGGUCUUUUUUUCGCAAGUCGUACAUUUAAAUCGCGUUUUCUUAAUAAUCUCCGAUACAAUUCUGUAUGUACUUCUUUAUCGUACUUCUCGUAUUAUUAUUAUUAUUAUUCUGUAUUAUUCUCGUACCUCUGAAUUUCGCAAAUUAUUCAUAUAUAUCAUCCAGGACGACCUUCUUCCCUAGAAUAUAAUAAAUUGUAGAAAUGUUCCUCUCUAGGAGCUUUGCAGUUUCGCUUGUAGAUUUUUUUUCCUCGUACCACUAUACUAAUAAUUCUCUUUCUGUUUUAUUCGCUUCCAAUUUCUUCUAAAAUUUCAUUAUAUGGGCACUCGAUCUUGGGGAAACUACAGCGUGAAUUCUACGCAGUAUUUCUUGCAGACUAGCUGUCUGUAAACUAGCCAACCUUUGUUUACGUUCUCUGACCCACCGAAACGAAAUUAUUAUGAAGAUCCUAUACAGAUUUUCAACACUUUUGCGAUUGAUGUUCUGCUACUAAUUGCAAUAAAUCAUUCUAUUUUAGAUGUGCGUUUCCCAAUUUGAAUGAAACUUAUACAUAGAUUAUCCUCACAUUUAUACCCAUGCAUUAUACAUACGGAAAUUUCAAAAUAUUUAUUAUCCUUGUUGGAUUCCAGGAUCGUAUGGAUCGAAGAAUUGGACGGUUUUGAUACGAUUUCACGUGUAUCUAAAAUAUACGCGUACACGUGUAAUUAAUAUAUCCGCGUUUUAAUCCAUGUACUUCUCAAUACACGGGUACACGUGUAUUAAAAUACAGGAGCGCACGGAUCAUAUCUAUACAUGUAGCUGUACAUGUACUGAGGUUCACGAAUACACGUAUCGAAAUGUAUAGUUUCACGUGUAUUAACACAUACUUUAUGUUUUAUUUUAUAAUUAAAUAUCAAAAUAUUUAGAUAUGUAAAUUGUUUAUGAGAUUUCAUUUUUUGGUUUGCAGGUAAAAAUAAGAAACAUUAUGGUUUUGGUUAAUAAAGUUUAAUUUAUUAAUUUCCUGCUUCGAGAUAAGGAAGCUAAAAUAUUAUCAUUUUGUGCAAGUAAAUGGUUUAUUUUUUUUGUUACAAUAUUUUCAGCACAUGAAAAUAUUCGCAAGUUCGGAAAUUACUGGGUAUUUGUUUGCGCUAGUCUUCCAUCAUUCAACUUAAUUUAAUUAAGUCAAAGCGUUACUGUGGCUCGGUCAUAUAUGUUUCUUUUUGAAUAUAAACGUUAUUCUUAUCGCUGAUUUCGUCAUAUAAAAAUUCAAGAGCAGAUUUUUCGUGCGUCUUCCUUACAUUUACUGUGUGUAUUGCGUUUAUUAUAUUCGAGUUUUGGAGAAAACGUUUGACUUUUGUACGAAUUAUUUCUUUUACUGUUCACUCAAGUUUGAAACGUCUCGUAAUAUCCGAAAUUAUAGCUUCUUUAAAUGUAUGUGUUCGCUGUUAUCGACUGUCGGACACCUUGAGAUUUUAAGACAGUGCAUAAUAGACCUCAGUAGUAAAUAUGUAUCUAUUGGUUUUCUUAACAUGUUGACGCCGGUGCGACCCAUCGGCAGGUCACACGUGUCUGUCUAUAUUAUUUUAUCUCAUCAUUAUAAGCAGACAUACAAUAGUAAAAACAUAACAAUUCAAUAUUAUAAACUUAAUAUAACUACAUAACUUCCUUUCUUCAUACAAUUUUUUAAAACAAGUUAGGCGGAGUACCGGCUGGCUCUUACAAUGAUUACAAUAUAUUUUUUGAUUCCUUUCACAGUAUACUCUCUACCUUUUAUUCUACAAAUGCGUUUACAACUUUCUUUACACCGCCGUUUCGUUUUGCUCGCAGGCCCUUGGUAUGACUGCAGAAAAUGUGAUCGUUUUUUUGGCAGUACUUCAUUGUCACUUGGCAUUUUUUCUUUGUGGGGAUUCACUAUAUUUAAAAGGUGAUAAAUAAUUUCUCCGAAAUUUUAAAAUUUGUAUACUUUUAGCAUCCCAUUUUCUAUGUACCAUUGCCACGCAUUUAUGAGGCAAGUCCCACAUAUUAAUUCUAUUACAAUUUUUUUAUACCAUUUUAUGGUUCUGCGCAAACAACUAUAAUAGGAUGACGUUUGAUCGGACAGAUCAACCCCCCCCUUUUUAGCAUUAUUAUAAAAAAAACAGUGUCUGGCUUUAAUUUACUAUUUUUCCCGUGAACAAUAACACACCUAUGAUUUUUGGAACUAGCUAGCAUACAUGCUGGCCUUUUGUCAGUCCAUUUUGCGUAACCUAACGCUAUUUUCGUUGUUCAUGUUCCUUACGCGCGCCGUUGUUCUUCGACAGACAUGCAUGACUAUUGUUUAUUCCUGUACGGAAUUGAAAAAUUUUUUGAUUCGCGCAAUGAACGUUUUUUUAUAGAAAAAUGUACACAGAAUUACGUGCGAUGGUCAGAAUUCACGUCACAUCUCUACUUUUUGAGAAAAUUCGGAAAGAGUACAGAAUUAGGACCAAAGCUGGUCCCGUCAGCUUUACUUAACAUUUAUAGAUAUAUGCAAAUUGAUAUUGACAAACUAUUGUGUAUUAAUGUAUUAGUUGAAGUCCACGGAAUUCAAUGAACCCAACAGGAAUCAUAUAACUUUCUUAAAUGUCGUAUAAAUUGAGGUCAAGGUUGAAAAAUUGCAGUCGUGUCGACAGGUUAAUGUGACCCAGCGCCGCCCCACGAAGCAGACAGUGAAUUCAUCAAUGUGUCAACAGGAUUAGAAUGCCCCGUUCUCACACACACAUCACACACGAUAUUACAAAUAAAUAUAUACAUAUGCAACCAUGACUCAAACCUAUGUACACAUACUGCCAUAACUCAAACACACAUAUAAUAUUUCCUACCCUAAACCUGUAUUAACCAAACAUUAUCUCUACCUCUAUCUUUUAUUGCCUUCACCUAAUCCCAAUCCGUGUUUUAAUUCUACCAUACUUAUAGUUAGGACAUUACUAAUCAACUAUGCUAUUUUUUUGGUCUAGCCACGUCAGUUUCCAACGCUUCAUCCACUCACUACGCCUUCUUCCUCCAGAUUCUCUAGCUAUUUUUCCUAGACCUUACUGGUACUCAGUAGAAUGUAAGGACGACCGAGUUAGAUGUAGAAGCGGGUAUUUAGGGAAACGAAGAGAAAAGGGCAAUAUUUCGCAUAGUUUGAAUUGUGGUCUCAACUAACGGGAUUUCGAUGCUGAAUAUUAGGACAUUGUUGUUAUAGGCGAUUGUUUAAUUUAUACAAUUUAAUCGUAUUUGUGCAUGCCGGAAUAUGAUAAUGGAAUGGACCAACUCAGCCCCCUCCUGGAGAACGAUAUCGGUUAAGUCGUUGAAAAGGAUUCGGGAAAAUACUAUCUGCGUGUUCGAAGCGAGUCUUGUCAAAGUAAUGGAAGAUAUAAUUAACAGUAUUUAUCUGGUUCCGAGAAUAUCUGUGACAGGGGCAAUACUUCUUCGGAGAUAAGAUAUCGUUUGAAGAUUUCGUUCAGGUAGUUAGUAACAGUAAUGGAGUUUGUAAGACUAUUACACGCUUCUAUAUUUUCCUUAAGUUUAUCCUCGUCCUCUCGCAAAGACUACGGAUGGGCGAGCUAAAAUUUUGAAUUGCAUCUUUAGUGAUUGCAAUUUGUUGUCUCAUUGGUAUUUGAACAUUCCUAUCUUUGAAGAGAGUCGAGUCGAUCGUCUUCUUAUGAAAUUUAGCGUCUUCGGUAUCGGGGGAAUAACCAAAGCAAAACGUACGAUGCGCCGUCAAACGCGCCCUCUUUUAUUUAUUUUAUUUCCCUUGUUCGAUUUAUGUGGCUGUCUUGUAUUUGAUAAGUUUGAUUCUAUUCACAGUUGCGUGAGAACGUUCAGAUGCGUGACUGUAUAUUUCGAAGACAGCUCUGACCAAAAUAGACGUUGUUACCGUAUACCGCAUGUUCGAUCUUGUGUGUACACAUAUUUACGGAUCUUGAGUGGCAUUUGGAUAAUCGGUCGAGUUUUUCGCCUGCGAUGGUGAGAUCGAGGUAGGUUAGUAGAAUUUCCAGUUUCGCGUUGCCUAAUUGGUUGUGAUGUAAUCCUACUUGAUUGUUUAAGCGGGAGAUUUUGCAACAGGAUUCGAUAAUUUUAUGAGCAUGGUUAAGGAUGGUUGAGACGAAUGUCAUUAGGACAAACCGGAAUCUAUUAUCUUUGUGUUAAUAAUGUCUAUUACUCGUUAUUGUCGCCUAAAACAAAGGGUUUCAGAAAACUGGCGUGAUAGGCUGUUAACUUUCCGUUCUUCAAAAUUUGGGCGGUAUUAUUGGAAUUGAUUUUGAUUAUUUUGUAAAGAACCUUUGUCGUUUGGUGGUAGUAUUUUUAUUUAAUCUCGGCGUAUUCUGUUUGUUUAGGAUAUAUACUAAAUCAUCGAUUUAGUUGUAAGUAAAUUUUUAAUCGAAUUAGGUUAUCUCUAACUAUUUUUUCCGUAUAGCUUAGUUUCCAUUUCAAGUUGAUUCUAUAGUCCUCAUAAUAAUAAGUUGUUGUAAGACCCUUGAAUUAUAUUACUAGAUAUGCUUUAGUUCCGAAAAGCAUUUCAUAUUUAAGAUUAUUUCAAUUUAAACACGCGUACGUAGGCUAACGACGCAGAGGUUAUGAAUUCUAGUAGUUAUCGUUACCUCAUGCACCUCAUCGAUAUCGACGAUUUUCGAAUAUGUUGUAGAAAUCUAUAUUACCAACAACUUUUCCCUAUUCGUGUAACCACCGUUCGGCAUUAGUUUCCGAGAUAUUGAGAAAAAGUUGUCAGUAUUGCUAUAAAAUUCCGAAUUCUGCUUGUAAUGGUGCGUCUGUGACAGCGCAUGUGCUGGAGUAUUGGUUAACAUUAGACAAAAUAUCCAAACUUAUAUAAAUUAUGAACGAAAGAUAAUAAAUAGGUUUGGAUUAAUCUCUUAGCUAUUAAUGCCACUGUAGUGCCUUUCGUGUAGAUGAUCUUUUCGACAAUCUAUAUAGUGACUUUCGCUUAUGGCAUCUUUUUGAACGAGACGUCACUACAGUGGCUCACCCUGUCUGUAGAUAUGUGUAAAUUAUCGCACGACCGUUAUUUGUUUAGUUUCGCAUUUUUUCGCUCAAUACACGUUUCUUAACGGUAUAUAAGCGAAUGUAAAAAAGUACUUCUGCCAGAGAUGUCAACAGGCCAUACAGUAUUUACUUUUGAAGACACCAGUUAUGAGUACUGUUACUUUUUUAUUUUGUUAUGUGUACCAUUAGUCGAUAACCUUUUUAACAUUCCGCUUCGUAUAUUUAUAAUUUUGUAGAAUUCUUAACCUCUAAAUUCUUGAGUAUAUCAAUACAAAACAGAAAGCAGGGAGCAAUUAGUGAUGGUCUCGAAGUGGACUCAGGAUUUAGAAAGGCGUCGAACAAAAAUAUAAACGAUAGGAAACGUGUAAGAAAAUUGCAAAGAAAGAUACUGAGUUCAAAUACGUAGAUUUAACUCGAUUAAUUCUGGGAUGAAAAUACAAAUUAGUCGAUUUGCUACUCCGUUACGAUUACUUUGAACUAUUCUAUUUCUGAAGUAUUAAUAUCGUUUAUUGUGGAAUAAACAAAUCGGUAUUGUAAAUACAAAAGGGAAAAUUCUAUGUGCUCUUUUGUAAAACCUCACGAAGGAGAAACAACUCUGAGUGAGAUGUAUUGCUUUUUUGCAAUCAAGUCACUUACGUCGCCAAUAAAAGAGUUACAUUAUUCCGAAUAUCGAACAAAGGUUAAAUUUUUGCGUACUGAUAUUUUCGGACGCAUAAUGAAUAGAGAUAGAUAUCCUUUUUUUGUUACGAAUGCUUUAUUUUAACGAAAUUACGACAGCUAAUUCUGAUUGGCUAGUAGAAGCAAGAGAAUUCUGUAGUAAGUUUCGUUUUUCAUUUGAAAAUUAUUUUAGCCCAUUUAGUAACUUAUGCAUAAAUGAAGGUUUAUCAUUACAUAAGGCGAGAUUAUCAUUCAAACAGUAUAUUCCAUCCAAACGGAGUAAUAGAUUUGGCAUCAAAUCUUUUAUACCGUGUGACUGUAAAAGUGGAUGCGUAUUACGUUUUCUUGUGUAUACAAGAAACAAAAAUAAAUGAGAAGCCUCUGGGAAAAUCAGGCGAAAUUGUAAUUCCAUUAUUAGAAUGAUAUUUAGCAUUAGGAAAAUGCCACACUUUGUUGAUAUUUGGUAUACCAACCUGGCUUUACCAACCAGCACUUAUCUCCAAAAAAACCCCAUGUGGUAAAUUGUCAGAGGAAAGGUAUUCCUAUCACGAGUGAAAAAUUAAUUGGAUGUGAAAUGUAUUUCGAUCUUCGCCAAAUAUGUUCGCAGUCAAAUGGCAAGACAAACGCAAAGUGUAUAUGCCGUUCACUUGUCCCUCUGCGGAUUUUAUAAAUACAAGAAGACUAAAUUAGUGAACGAAAGAGGUUAUCCAAAAAUCGUCUUGCACAGUAAAUUAUAUUGCAAACAUGGGUGCGGCAGAUAAUCUGUCCCUAUUCAUUACGUCGUAGAUAUAGCAGUACACAAAAUAUUUUUUCCAUCUACUUGAUGCAGUCAUUCAGAAUGCGUUUUGUUUGUACAAAAAAAAAGAAAACAUUUUAGCUUCAAUUAAUUAAGGAAAUCGUAAAGAAGUAUAGAGAGAAAAAUAACGAUUUUAACAAUCGGCAUAAAUCUAUCGCAGGCCAACUUUGCUGGAAGACAUUUCCUGUCUUUUUGUAAAACAAUAAAUGCACAAAAAGAAAAAAAAAAAAGAAAACGUUGAGAAAUUAUGUUAUACGCACAAAAAACGAUAUAAGGCGAAGGUCACGCUACGAAUGUUAAAGUUGUGACGUUGGACUCCGCGUAGUCCCUUGCUUCAAAGUAUGUCAUACAAUAUUGUAUUGAUUUUUUAAAAAUUUGUGUUACUACUUAAUAAAGUAUACGUGCCCAUA
Long non-coding RNA from Bombus huntii, 8079 nucleotides. RefSeq lists it as uncharacterized. The record is from RefSeq and is a predicted model, not a curated record. Lineage: Eukaryota; Metazoa; Arthropoda; Insecta; Hymenoptera; Apidae. The transcript has 3 exons.